AACAAGGAUUCCCCUAGUAACGGCGAGUGAAGCGGGAUGAGCUCAAAUUUGUAAUCUGGUGGACUCAGUUCAUCCGAAUUGUAAUCUAUAGAAAAGUUUUCCGCGCUGGACCGUGUCUAAGUCCCUUGGAACAGGGUGUCAGAGAGGGUGAGAAUCCCGUGCUUGAUACGACCACCAGUGCUAUGUGAUACUUUUUCAACGAGUCGAGUUGUUUGGGAAUGCAGCUCAAAAUGGGUGGUAAAUUCCAUCUAAAGCUAAAUAUUGGCGAGAGACCGAUAGCGAACAAGUACCGUGAGGGAAAGAUGAAAAGCACUUUGGAAAGAGAGUUAAACAGUACGUGAAAUUGUUAAAAGGGAAAC
This 359-nucleotide ribosomal RNA is filed under the name Tulasnellaceae sp. CBS 482.93. RNAcentral's name for it is "eukaryotic LSU rRNA". It matches the Rfam family "Eukaryotic large subunit ribosomal RNA", at positions 67 to 420 of the family's 3401-position model. Lineage: Eukaryota; Fungi; Basidiomycota; Agaricomycetes; Cantharellales; Tulasnellaceae. The record is from RNAcentral. RNAcentral also lists the same sequence under 2 other names.